GCCAGCGGUCAUAGCACGUUUAAUACACCAGUUCCCUACUGAUCACUGAUAUUGAGCACCGUUAUGUGUGGUUAGUAUUUGGAUGGGUGACCAUCUGGGCAAUCACGUGCUGCUGGAU
Molecule: ribosomal RNA, 118 nt
Filed under: Diaphorina citri (Asian citrus psyllid)
Lineage: Eukaryota; Metazoa; Arthropoda; Insecta; Hemiptera; Psyllidae
Source: RNAcentral